RNAcentral lists this ribosomal RNA (582 nucleotides) under uncultured Filobasidiaceae. RNAcentral describes it as "eukaryotic LSU rRNA". The stretch from base 140 to 293 matches the Rfam family "5.8S ribosomal RNA". Lineage: Eukaryota; Fungi; Basidiomycota; Tremellomycetes; Filobasidiales. The record is from RNAcentral.
UCUUCGCUUCGGCAGGCCCUUGCUUACUCCAUCCAACACCUGUGAACUGUAAGGCGCAUGACUAGGUUCGCCCAAGUCAUCGUCUGCCCUUUUUACAAACAAUUAAUGUAACAAACGUAGUCUUAUUAUAACCUAAUAAAACUUUCAACAACGGAUCUCUUGGCUCUCGCAUCGAUGAAGAACGCAGCGAAAUGCGAUAAGUAAUGUGAAUUGCAGAAUUCAGUGAAUCAUCGAAUCUUUGAACGCACCUUGCGCUCUUUGGUAUUCCGAAGAGCAUGCCUGUUUGAGUGUCAUGAAAAUAUCAACCUUGACUUGGGUUUUGUGCUCUAGUCUCGGCUUGGAAUUGGGUGCUUGCCGCUUUUACGAGCGGCUCACCUUAAAUGUAUUAGCUGGAUCUGUCUUUGAGACUUGGUUUGACUUGGCGUAAUAAGUAUUUCGCUAAGGACAUUCUUCGGAGUGGCCUCGUUUCUAGGACGCUUGUCCGCUUUCCAAUACAAGUUCCACCUCGUGGACAUGACUUUUUAUUAUCUGGCCUCAAAUCAGGUAGGACUACCCGCUGAACUUAAGCAUAUCAAUAAGCCG